UUGAUGGAAUUCAUUUGGAUCACUUAGUGGCGGACGGGUGAGUAACGCGUGGGUAACCUGCCCUAUACUGGGGGAUAGCAGUUGGAAACGACUGAUAAUACCGCAUAAGCGCACAGCAUCGCAUGRUGCAGUGUGAAAAACUCCGGUGGUAUAGGAUGGACCCGCGUCUGAUUAGCUAGUUGGUGAGGUAACGGCCCACCAAGGCGACGAUCAGUAGCCGGCCUGAGAGGGUGUACGGCCACAUUGGGACUGAGACACGGCCCAAACUCCUACGGGAGGCAGCAGUGGGGAAUAUUGGACAAUGGGGGAAACCCUGAUCCAGCGACGCCGCGUGAGUGAAGAAGUAUCUCGGUAUGUAAAGCUCUAUCAGCAGGGAAGAUAAUGACGGUAC
RNAcentral lists this ribosomal RNA (391 nucleotides) under bacterium AE3016. Its description in RNAcentral is "bacterial SSU rRNA". It matches the Rfam family "Bacterial small subunit ribosomal RNA", at positions 68 to 478 of the family's 1533-position model. The record is from RNAcentral.